This 1566-nucleotide long non-coding RNA is filed under the name Homo sapiens (human). RNAcentral's name for it is "long non-coding RNA NONHSAT198656.1". The record is from RNAcentral. Lineage: Eukaryota; Metazoa; Chordata; Mammalia; Primates; Hominidae.
UUAUGUAAUAUGCCUCAGGCAGUGGCAGAAACCUAGGCUGAAAUAACCAGCACUACUUGCCAAACACUUUAGAAAGAUUAUGUUUCUUCUCCAUUACAGAAGUGGAACAUAUGGUUCAGGAAUUUACCCUAAAGGCAAACUACAGAGGUUAAGCAUGUGAUGCAGGGGCCAAAAUUGUGAGUUCAAAUGCCAACAUGUUUACUUACUAACUUCAUGACCUCACAAACUUGCUUCAACUUUCUGUAACUUUGUCUGCUUAUCUAUAAAACAAUACGUACCUCAACGUCUGGUUAAAAGUUUCAAUUGGCAUAAUAUAUAUAAAGCUCUUAGAAGACUGCCUGGAACAGGUUGCAGCAAGAUCCUCCCAGGAAAGUGAAGCGGAGAAAAUGGAGGUAGAAACUGUUCUCCUCAUUAAACUACCUGCCCUCUGUAAUGUAGCUCUUCUGUGCUGCAGAAAUUGAUACUACACAAGAAAAGAAAUGAUGGGAGAAUAGUGAAGAAGAGAAGAACUGGCCAGGUAGCAACAUAUAAGAGGCCAAGGGCCGGGCGCAGUGGCUCACACCUGUAAUCCAAACACUUUGGGAGGCCAAGGCGGGCAGAUCACCUGAGGUUGGGAGUUUGAGACCAGCCUGACCAACAUGGGGAAACCCCAUCUCUACCAAAAAUACAAAAUUAGCCAGGCGUGGUGGUGCAUGCCUGUAAUCCCAGCUACUCAGGAGGUUGAGGCAGGAGAAUCACUUGAACCCAGGAGGCAGAGACUGCAGUGAGCCGAGAUUGCGCCAUUGCACUCCAGCCUGGGUAACAAGAGUGAAACUCCGUCUCAAAAAAAUUUCUUUCAUGUCAGAUGGAUUGGAAUGGGACAAGGCACUUUUCAGAUUCAGCUAUGGGGGAAACAAAAGACAGAAGACAAAAGUUCUCACUUCUCAAAGAGCUAAGUUUCUUUAUAAUCUCUUUAUGCUCCAAGAUGUGUGUGUGUUGUGGGGUGGGAGGGGCGGUAUUGUCUCUUUAAUUAAAUACUUUACCAGGUACUUUUUUCCAAGUACUCACAGUUCUAUCUUAAUCAAGUAUUGUCUUUUAAAAUCAAAAUAAAAAUUAUAAAUAUUACAAUAAUACAUCCAUGCUAGAUUAUAUUUGUCUUUAUAUCAAUGUAGAUGUAAAAUGUAAUUUAAAAUAUUUUUUCAUGGCUGAAGAGGCCCAGGAAAGUCAUAUUGUGGACACGUGAAAAGCACAAUGAAUGAGUAUGGGUAUAUUAGAAGGUGAGAAGCUCUGUGGAGGAAGAAAAGGAAGUGUGAUAAACUGUCGGGAAAAGGAAAACACUAUGUGGAAGCAAGACACACAGGGAAAACAUCCUGUGAUGACAAAGGCAGAGAUUCGAGUGCUGCAGCUGCAAGCAAAGGCACACCAGGGAUUGAAGGCCAUCACCAGAAGCUGGGAAGAGACAAGGAGGGAUUGGAACAUGGCCCUGCUGUCACCUUGAUUUUGAACAUCUAACCUCCAGAACUGUGAGACAAGUUUAUAUUGUUUUAAGUGAUGCAGUUUGUAGUACUGUGUUAUGGAAGCCCCAGG